UAUCAAUGGGCCGGCCUACGGAGCAGGA
Molecule: non-coding RNA, 28 nt
Filed under: Mus musculus (house mouse)
Lineage: Eukaryota; Metazoa; Chordata; Mammalia; Rodentia; Muridae
Source: RNAcentral